RNAcentral lists this ribosomal RNA (406 nucleotides) under uncultured bacterium. RNAcentral's name for it is "bacterial SSU rRNA". It matches the Rfam family "Bacterial small subunit ribosomal RNA", at positions 36 to 487 of the family's 1533-position model. The record is from RNAcentral.
CUGGCGGCACGCCUAACACAUGCAAGUCGAACGAAGUAGCAAUACUUAGUGGCAGACGGGUGAGUAACAUGUGGGUAUCUACCCUUUGGCCUGGAAUAACACGAGGAAACUUGUGCUAAUACUGGAUAAGUCUUUACGGAGAAAGCUUUAUGCACCAUUGGAUGAGCCCGCACUUGAUUAGUUUGUUGGUGGGGUAAUGGCCUACCAAGACUGUGAUCAAUAGCUGAUUUGAGAGGAUGAUCAGCCACAUUGGGACUGAGACACGGCCCAAACUCCUACGGGAGGCAGCAGUGGGGAAUCUUGCACAAUGGAGGAAACUCUGAUGCAGCGAUGCCGCGUGAGUGAAGAAGGCCCUUGGGUUGUAAAGCUCUUUCGUCGGGGAAGAAAAUGACUGUACCCGAAUAAG